GGUCUUCCUCUCUCUCCCCUUCCUUUCUCUUGACCCGGGUAAUAUGUCGUCCGCCGGCGGCGACGGUGGAGGGAGCGGCGGCGGGAUUGCUUUCAGCGGUUCUUCUCAACUCUAUUUUUGCCAUGAGUGCAACGCCACCGUAUCCAUUAGGACUUCAUCUUCCUCUGAUCUCGCUUGUCCCAAUUGCAACGGCGGCUUCAUUGAGGAAGUCGAUAAUCCCGCCCCUAAUUUUUCUAAUCCCUUCUUUUCGUUUACUUCUGAGUUUGGCGGCGGCGGUGCCGGCUUUCCUCUAGUAUUUUCCACCACUUCCACCGGCGGCGGUAGUGGUGCUGGUGCACCGAUAAUCGACGAUCUCUCUACUCUCUUCGGUGGUGGACCUAAUCGAUCGUCUCCGUUCGGGGAAACUGAUGCGUUCAACCCUUUUGUUUUUCUUCAGAACUAUCUUCAAACCCUGAGAGCCGGCGGUGCUAAUGUUCAAUUUGUGAUAGAGAACUCUGGAGACCCCGGUGGAACCUUCCGUCUGCCCGCGAAUCUCAAUUUUGGUGAUUAUUUUUUUGGACCUGGCCUCGAGCAAUUGAUUCAACAGCUUGCGGAGAACGAUCCUAACCGACACGGGACGCCUCCAGCUUCGAAAUCUGCCAUUGAGGGCCUUCCUACGAUUAAGAUUUCAGAAGAGUUGCUGGCUUCGGAAUCAUCGCAGUGUGCCGUUUGUAAAGAUACAUUUGAGCUCGAGGAAGAGGCGAAGCAGAUGCCAUGUAAACAUAUAUAUCAUUCAGAUUGCAUUUUGCCUUGGUUGGAAUUGCAUAAUUCUUGCCCUGUUUGCCGUUACGAGUUACCAACGGAUGAUCCUGACUACGAACAACGAGCUGGUGGGACAUCUACACAGGAGAAUCGAAAUCAAUCUGCAGGGGAAGGUGAGUCCGCUGGUUCUUCUGAAGGAGGUAAUGGGGGCAGCGGUGACGGUGGUAGUGCAACAUCUGGAGAAGACACACCGAGAGAACGCAGGUUUAGGGUUUCUUUGCCUUGGCCUUUUAGGCAACUAGCUUCCAUAGCCGAGACUAGCAGUACUGGGAAUGCCAACGUCAGCGGAAAUAAUAGCGGGGAAUCAAAUUCCGGAAGAAGUGGAAACCAGAAUUUUGAGUCGGAGACCAGACAAGAAGAUCUCGAUUAAGACCUGCGAGUAAUUUUUCUCGGUACAAUUCGAGAGAGGGGGAAAACAAAAUGGGGAUUCAGCUGGAAGAAACACAUAAGAAGAUUUGCAAUGUGGAGAAUGGAGAGGAAGCUGGAAAGCUGUUCAACACAUGCAGACAAUAUAAUAGAAAAGAUGAAGCAUAUGGAAGGAUCGAUCAAGGAAAUACAAGAACAAAUCAGAGAUAUAAAGGAAGAGUUGAGGAUAGAGAAAGCAGAACAGUCGAAACAGAGGAAGAAAAAGAAAAAGAGCAUGAUCAAGAAUAAGUUGAAUUAAAAAUCUUGGGGGAGCAAUUACCUCAAGUGAUUUGAGUGAAAGAAAAAGAGGCAAGAGAGACUUGCAAGAAACCUACUGGAUCGAAGGUUUGAGAGUAAUCCUGAAGAGAAUUGCUAGGAGCAUGUGUGUUUUGUUCUGUUCUUAUUUUCCAGAUACCUGUAGCUGAUCCAGCUUAGACUUACAUUCUGUCUGGAUUUUACUCCUGUGACUAAUACAUUUCUGGAGCUGAUCCCAUCAAACUUAAAUUGGGGAAUCAUACAGAGUUCUACAGUUUACAGUGUUUCAAAUCUGCAUCAUUGUUCAAUAGGAAGGAUGUGAAAUGUCCAUUGCUAGUGGUUAGUGAGAGUUGCGAACAUCAUAUUUCAUCUUGAGAAACAUAGGUAACUUGCUAUCAUCAUCUUGACAGGUAGAAUUAUUUAUAAAUUCAUCUUUUUAUUGGAUGGAUUAUGAUGAAACUUCUUAUUUUCUGGGAUUUCUAUCGUUUGCUUCAUUCGAACUCCUAUUGUCUUUCGUCUGCCUUCUCUCAUGCUAUAUUGCUCGUAGUGGGGGACUGGGUUAUAUACUCGUAUUCCAACACAACAAAGAGUCUAUAUAUAAAUGUUGUCCCUUUGCAAUUUCUUAUGCAUGUCCAUUUAUGUUUAAUGACGUUGAUAAUAUGAAAAAGUCUGCCAGUAUUAUUCUA
Neltuma alba is the source of this 2147-nucleotide RNA transcript. It is a transcript of the gene named E3 ubiquitin-protein ligase RING1-like, with no coding region annotated. Lineage: Eukaryota; Viridiplantae; Streptophyta; Magnoliopsida; Fabales; Fabaceae. The record is from RefSeq and is a predicted model, not a curated record. The transcript has 3 exons.